Long non-coding RNA from Gambusia affinis (western mosquitofish), 6099 nucleotides. RefSeq lists it as uncharacterized. NCBI's taxonomy places the organism in Eukaryota, Metazoa, Chordata, Actinopteri, Cyprinodontiformes, Poeciliidae. The record is from RefSeq and is a predicted model, not a curated record. The transcript has 7 exons.
ACACGUGUAGACAAAGGGGGGACUCCACAACACAGAGCCUGAUGUGCCCCUCUCAAACUUUUUCCACGGACGCACGGGAACGCGCGCGCAGCGACCCAGCUCAGGUGGAAUUUUAACAGAUUAUCAAGCAAGACGCCUCCUGUGGAAGGUCAAGAAAAUAGCAAAAACAAUAUGCUGAAACAACACAGAGAUGGCACAGGAUCACCUAUCAGACCACGCUUUAAGACGGAGAGAAGGAUUAAGAGACUGUGCAGGUUCAUUUUGGGGAGAAGGUAAAGACUUAUCUCAUGUUGGAUUUAAACUUCUGCAGCAGCGGUGCCUGUUGGAUUGCGUUUUAGGGCACACGUGAAAAUCCAGAACUCAUGGAGACACUUUAAGGAUUAUCCGAAUUCAUGGUAAAUCUCUCCGCAAGACACAUCUUGAGCCAGAGUCCCUGGGAUAGCAGGAUAUUGCACUUCUGAUCCUCCUCGCCCCUCGGCACGGGGAGCGUGGGAGUACUGAGGUCUGGGAGAUCACGACCCUAAUUCUUUCCAAGACAGACGGUUUAAUUAACACUGUAGGAAUCCUCUCCAACUCCAGACCUCUGCAAAAGGAAUUUACUCAGGAAUUACACCACACAGGUCUUGGACAUUUAGUGGACCAGAAAGCUGACAGAUGAUGCCCAUGAAUGAUGGAUGAUGUCUUCUUGGUGCCAGUUGAAUGCAUUAUAAACCAAUGAUACGGCCCCUGUCAUUGUGGCCCACGUUGGCAGAAGACCACCUCACAGGGAUUUUCCUCUUCACCAGUGUGGCAGACUGAGAUUCAGUGGCAACAUCUACCCAGAAGCUAAUGCCUGUUCCAGAGGAGAGAAGAUCUAAAAAACAAGCCUGCAUAAAAAGGCAGAGUGGAAGAUGCUGAUAGAGAGGAGAAUGUCUUGAUAGGGAAAGAAAAACAGAAGAAAAAGAUGAAAGGACAUUUUUUUUGUGUGUGUUUGUAUGUUUGAAGAUUUAGCAUCAUCCUGUGGUAUCAGUGUUAAAUUGUACAGCAUACUACUCACUGAGCAGAAGUGGUUAAAUGGGAUUCAAAUGGUUUUGCAUGCUUUGUAUAGUAAAGCACGGCUUUGCAUUUGUAAAAUUGAGAUGAGCAUUUAAUUUUAUAUAUAUAUAUAUAUAUAUAUAUAUAUAUAUAUAUAUAUAUAUAUAUUUUAUUUUUAUUUAUUUUUUUUCUUUUUGUGUAUAACCCCAUGAAACUCAAUCUAAAGGCUAUGCUUAUACAAGACAAGCCUUUUACUCAAGAUUCCAUAAAUUGCAGAAGCUAAGGUCAGAGCUUAACAUCAUAAGCUUGGAUUGCAUCUACUAUUAUGGAGGUUGUCUAACGUUGGUCGCUGGGGAACAAAAACAGCAUUAAGUACCUGCAGUCAUGCAAUAUGCAUAGCUCAGAGGAGAAAUAUGCCUAAACUCAGGCUCUUGUAACAAUAAAAAUGUGAAGAGUUUAACUUUUAUCAUUGCAGCAUGGAUUAUUAAUGAACUUUGUAUUGCUCUGUGAAAAAUCUAUGUAAUAUAAAGGUGUACAAAGAGAUUUCUUUCCUGCUCAGAGGACUUGUGAAAACAUAGCUCAUGAUAGCAACUGCAAAUGUCACAUGAGGACAGAGCAGGAAUAUUCUGAAUGCUAAAUGAAGAGGGGAAAAGCAUUGCUCAAAGUUCUUGACAUGCAGGUUUCUUAAAUAGAUGGACAAUUAUUCAAGUUUGUUUGUCAGUUUUUAUUUCUGGCCAUCACAAAUCAGUGUAAUAAGCAAAACAAAGCAAAAACAAAAAGAUUAUUUUAUAACGGGAGUCUAAUGUAAAACUUGGAAUAUCAUAGUUUACUUCUGGAAUGCAUAUACAGUUACAACCAGAAGUUUGUGUGCACGAAUGAAAAGACACAUACACAUUUUUCUUUCACCAUGUGAAGUCAAAUUAGAUAACAUUUCUUUUGUCUUAGAUCAGAAUUACAAAAAAAAAAUGUGUAUUUUUAUUCAGUGUACAUAAACUUCUGUUUUCAACUGUAUAGUGUCAUGCAUUUUACAAAAACAAAAAUGUUCUGAUCUCACAUACUGAAAUACCAGGGCAAUGUUUUUAAGUAUAUAAUCUAACAAAUAUUCCCAUGGUACCUAUACAUGCAUUAGUACUCUUGUGUCUUUGCAACACUAAAAUUUUGCAAUAUGCAGGCUAUGCAAUAUUAACCAAACAGUAUUUACUUGUAAAUUACAUUUGUAUCAAGCUUUAAGGAAAUAUUUUUCUUUUCUUUUUAAAAAAAUUGUAAAUAAUAAUUACCCCUGGUUAAGUGCUUUGAAUAGCUGCCGUACAUAAUGGCAGAAAGCCCCAAGAAAAAUAUGUUAUCUUCACACAGGGAAACAUUUUUAGCCGGGUAGGGUAUCAAAAACAUCAUCCUGGGGUUGGCCUUGUCACACAAAUGUAGCAAGCAGUUUUAGGCCCCUGCUAUCUGCCUCUCUCCAUCUUUGUCUGUGGUUACUAACCCUGGCUACUUUAGCCAGAAAGGGCCCCUUUUGUAUGUUUCAUACACAGUUUAUCACACUUCCUCUCACUCUGCUCGCUACUCUCAGCAAGUCUGCCAGAGAGGAAAAUCAAAGAGUUAGGGCCAGAAACGAUAUAGCGCAAAUUGUAUAUUAUAAGUAUGAUUUACACAUUACAAGGUUUAAAGACAAAAAAAUAUCAGGGGUUUCAAGUACAUACUGCAACAUCAUUCAAGUUUUCAUAAGAAGAUUCAAAUUUCACGUGUUGGUUUAAAUCGCUUGUGAAUCGAACAGGCAAGUCAGUUUCAGCUUCCACUUUAUUAGCGAUGGUUGAUUUGUUCAGACUUUACACCAAAUAUUUUUUGUGUUUUUGCAUUCUGGUGUGGUGUAAACAAAAUUAGGCAGAAAAAAUAAAUGUACUUUUCAUGGAACUACAAAAUAUAUGUUUGGGCACAGUAUAGAGAGAUCACCAGUUCAUUACCUAAGUAACCGACUCACUUAUAAUGAGUCGGUCGUAAACAAAGUUAAGUUGCAUAUCUUUAUUAACAUGUACAUAAAGAUCUGUACAUUUUUAAUGGAAAAUAAAUCAUUUUCCAUUGAAUUUUUUGGAGUGACAGAAUAAUACAAUAUACAAUCUCAGGAAUAUGAUCACAGUAAUAUGAUAUUUUGACAAUAUUUUUGGAAAAGCUAGCCAUCCAAAUUUUAGUUUUUACUUAAUUUUAUGCAAGGAGUAGGAAACUUUCAUGGAUCACAAUUUGUUUUAUGAAGAAUUAGCCAAAAAAAAAAAAAGUACAAAAAUUUAAUUUGGGGUUGAUCAAAGUAUCUUAGACUUUGUACUAAAUGUGAUUUAAUACAGAUUUCACUCAUGAACAGUGACCUGUUUAAUGCUGUUACGAUGCCCCUAAGCAGGAGCUAACUUCAGAAAAAUCUAUAGGAUGGCUACAAAUUGAUGGAUACUUAUUACAAAAUAAUCUGCACCAAAGAGAACCAAAACUAUGACAUCCUAAACAACAACAUUACAAAUAGUAAAAUGUAUGAAGCGACUAACACCUGAUAUUUUUAUACUGCUUGUAUCUGUUGUCAGUGCUAUAUAUAUAUAUAUAUAUAUAUAUAUAUAAAGAUUUAUUUUUCUUUGCAUUUCAUUGUUUUUGUCUUCCAUUUGCUCCUUGAGUUAAAAAUAUUUUAUUUGAAAAAGAAGUUAAGAAUAUUGUUCCACACAAUUCUUCCAACUUGCUGAACUAAAAAAAAAAAACAUGGAAGAGGAACAGAAAAUAACGGAUUAAAAGGAAAAAAAAAUCACAAAGAGUUUCAAUUUCUGAAAAAAGCUAACUUUGGAUUGCAAUACACAUAAUUUUCCACUUGUUUGCUGCCUAGGCUAUUGUGUAGUCUAUUCUGUACCCCCCGCCCCCAGUGUACCGUAGCUAGGACAUGUGUAAGUACACGAGCCGUUAACCCCCCAGAGGAAGUGUGCAGGAAAUGAGAUCAGCCUUAAAGAGAGGUAACGCCUGAGCCUGAACCACUGACACCAGACCAAUAACUGUCACUCACUGCACCUGAUACUGAGGUACUAAAAAUGCAGCAAAAUAACAGGAAGGUCAGAGCAGUACAGAACAGAGCACAAUAGCCCCCCUUUAAGAAUGAAAGCGAUGAGCAUGUGACAGGAAAGCAGGGAAACACAAACAUGAGACAAAGACAAUGAAGAGGACAGCUUGAAAUAGAGCAAACAAAACAGGAGAGAGAAGUAAAAAAUUACCAUGUUUGUCAUCCUCUAGAUUCAGUUUGGAGUUAAAUGUACCAGUUGUGGGUGGGAGAUUGUUGUCACAAGUGGGAUCAAAUAAAAUAGAACAAAAGCCAUUUUAGCAAAGGGGAGAAUAAAACUGCAAAAGACAUGUUCAGUGCUGUAAGAGGAAGAAGACACACAGGAACAGCAUCGCCAACACUCAAGAUCUGAGCCUUACAGAACACCAGGAACAAGCAGCCAAUUUUUGUGUCCUUGCAUGUUGUAAACUAACACAACCUGAAUCCCCUUUACCCUGAUGAAAUGUACAGCUGGUAGGUUUCGCUGAGUCUUGCAGGCCUGACGGCGACACGUGGAUUUGUGCUUCCAUGUCCAGGUGGACCUCAGCAAUGCUCAGACACAGAGCAACUUUUUGAUUUCUCUACAGUAAAAAGAAGAAAAAAGAAAAGCAGGAUAAUGAAACAUUUACAGUAUCUGCUUCCAUGUACAUAUAAGAACAAGGACUAUGUUGACAGCAUAUGUGAUUUUUUUAGAAAUCGCUCACAACUGCAGUUUCAGAAAACUUAAAACUUGGUAUUAACAGCACAUGUCAAACUCGAGGACCGUGGGCUAAAUCCAGGCCAUCAUAACUCUCUGUGUGGCCCUCUGAAAAUUAGCGGGCCACAAAUAUCGAACCUUCAAAAUAUCUGCCCUGUGCUUUAACAUUUUUUAUGAAUCAAAUCAAAUCUAUUUUUAUUUGUAUAGCGCCAAAUCACAUCAGUGUGAAAAGAUGUUCAAUAUAUAAUCUUAAGGAUUUCUCAUCAAAUAUAGAGCUCUUUGUUAAUAUUUUAGUUCAGUUCUUUGUUAUUGCAUAGUUUCGUCAAUACAUUCUGCCACAGUAAUUUGAGGAACUGAAUGUAUGUAAAGCUGCUGAGUUCUGAAGCAUAUAAAGUGGAAAAGUGUUUUACAAACAUCAACGCAUUUCUCAGGAAGAAAAAAAAAAUGGCAUUGCUAUUGACAUAAAAUUCACACUGACUGUUGAUUACGAUCAAAGUAAUCUUUAAAAACAACAAAAAAAAAAUCAAAGCAAUUUUUUCUGGAAUUAAGUUAUAAGUACUGAAGCAGAAAGGUACUGGGAAAGAAUACUGAACACGUGAACAAACUUAUCUGCGAAGACAUAAAAAGCCAAGAAAGAAUCUGAAAUCUUUCAGGACUUGGGAAAACUGCUGCUUCUGUGUGUACAUCAAUAUCUGCCGGUUUACUAUUAUUUGAUGGCCACUACUAGCUUCAACCCAAAUUUGAUGAAACCUGGCAUAGGGGUCCAAGUUUAACUGACAGUGUUAAAAAGGAAUCACUGGUAAUUGCUUAUUAUCUUCUCCCCCUGGAGCACAUCACCCCGGUUCUGAAGUCCUUACACCAAUUUCUUGAAAACCCAGAGAAUAAGAGUAAAAUAAUUUUGGUGAGUUAUUAAUCCUGAAUGGCUUAGCACCCAAUUACAUUAAGGAUUUGACAUUGCUUUAUCAGACAUUCAGACCGUUGAGGUCUUUGGGUUGAAGUCUGCUCUGCAGAAUCAGAACAAAAAGUACAAAAGCAGCAUUAAGUGUUUUUUUUAUGCUGCUUUAAUCUGGAUCAAACUUCCAGAAAACUGUGAAAACAUUGAAAAAAUGAGUUCAUUUAAAUCAAGGUUAUAAAUUAAUCUGCUCAGAGUUGCAUUUGAUUUAUAAAAAUCGGAACAUCUUUAAUUGUACUCUGUAUUUCAACUUCUCAUCACUUUCUUUUAUUUUUGCCACUGCAAUGUAACAUUUCUUUUUUUUGUUUUCAUCUUGUAAAGCACUUUGAUUGCCCCUUUCCUGAAAUGUGCAAUGUAAAUAAACUUGACUUGAUGAACGUA